CAUCAAAUUGCAGAAAGUAGACAAAGGAAAAUGUGUCAAAGCGGCGCCGUUUUAUGAACAGCAGCAGGAAUUCCGAAUCCCUGGUAUUGACUUUCGUUCAACUCCAAUCGUCCAACUCCCGACGCUCCUUCCUCCCUCUCUCCUCACCGAAGUUCGUGAUAAUUUGGAUGUUUGAAUGGCGGAGAAGCGUCUUCUUCAUGGUUUGAGGGCGCCGUGGUCGAUCUAGUGGCGGCUGCUGGUUGUGGAAAUCACGUGUUUUUGGUGAACAAAUUAGUUUGACUGUUGCAAUUGGUUCGUUCCAACUCUGAUGGUCAGACUUUCUCCAUAUGCUCUGAUGGCUUUGUUUCUCUGAAUCAAAACCCAAGACCAAGUCCAAGGCAUUUGCAACUCUUUUCAUUGUACUUUUGGCUGUGAAUUUGUUGCUAAGCAUUGAUCAAGUUGGGAAAAAUGAGCACAAAGUUCGAAAAGGUAUUGGAUAGUGGCAGAAGUGUUGUUGUUGAUCUGAAGAGAAAGAGGUCAGAACAAUGCACCAUCCCUUCAAAGGGAGCUACUCAUGUGCCGUUCACUCUGCAAUACCCACCACCUAUAUCAUCAAUCAAGAAGAUCAACAAGCGGAGGAAACUAAAUGGAUCCAUAAACAAGUAUAGCAGUUUUACCUUUCCAUCUGGGAAGCGCCUGCUUAAAUGUUAUUCCAACUUUAAGAAGAGUGGGAGUUUGCAACGCUUGAUGUAUCAUGACAACGAUGAGUGGAAUGAUUUUUCCAUGGACAUCAUUGCACAUGUCAACAAGGAUCUUCUUGCCGACAAGCCUGCAAUUGAAGUGGUGUUUAAUGGAACCAAGAUUCUGCUAGAUUUCUUGCAUAUGAUGCAGUUGGACCUGACUACUGGCGUGCACCAGCCUAUUGCUUGGAUUGAUGUCUCUGGGAACUGUUUUUUCCCUGAAAUAUUUAGUGGUUAUGAGGAAACAAAUGGUUAUGACAAUGAAUUUGCUGAAGGUGAAGGAGAUAGAGAUAUGGGAAAUGAGCCUUUUGGUUCCACUGAUAUAAACUUGCAUUUGGAGAUUGCUAUACAUGGAUUAAAUAAUGAGUCCAGUGGUGAAUCCAAUGUGAUUGUCGAGAAGAUACAUGCUCAUGAGAGUGCUGCUCCUAGAAUUUGUGAUGAUGAAAGUAAUGAUAAUUGCUCCAAGGCAUCAUAUGGGGAUGUCGAUGUGAAAUGUGAGGAUAGUCAGCAAAUUGAUGGAAACAUGAUUCAAGUGGUUGGUCCUGUACCUAGGUCCUUGGGAAGCGACACUGUCAAGGAGCUGUUCGUAAAAAGUAUUAGCUCGGCUGCUGCAGAGGUUGUUGAGAUACACCAUUGUACGAGCAUUUUGAUGAAAAGUCGGUUGGAACUAUUUGAGAAACAGGUAGAAAUAACAAAAAAGUACCGCGGCGAUGCAAAUGUCCUGUAUGCAUUGCUUCCUUGUUCGAAAGAAUCUGUUUCAACUAUACUAAAGUAUGGGAUAGGGCAUUACACGCCCUUGAAAUUGAAGCCCUUCAAUAGUACGGGGAUACAUCUGAUCCCUGCAAAUGGUACUCAAAUCAGUAUCGAUUGUUUAGAUGUUGACGAAAAUGAUGUACGGCAUAUGGUAUUCUGCCGUGUUAUAAUGGGGAAUAUGGAGCUUGUUAGCUGUGGAUCAAGUCAGUUCCAUCCCAGUAGUGAGGAAUUUGAUAGCGGUGUUGACACACUUCCCAAUCCAAGUCGUUAUGUUGUAUGGAACAUGAAUAUGACUUCUCACAUCUACCCAGAAUGUGCAAUUAGUUUCAAGAUGACUUCUGAUGUUGAAGAACCUAUUUUUGGGAAAGAGAGCAUGGUUGAUCAUCCUGUCCUCAAUACUUGUUAUAAAGGACCUCACGACCAGCAUUCCGCCAGUCCGACGUAGUUCUGACCAGCUGCUGAUCAUGCCGUCGUCCAUCACAUUCAUCCAACUACCUUGAAUGUUCAUCCGAAUCAAAACUAAGGGAUUCAGGCCGUCUACAAUUCGGACACCAGCAGGCUUAACUCUUGAUAGUUCAUUUGGUUGUGGAAAUCCAGAGAUUUUGUUCGACCCUUCCUUCCGGUCCACAUGUACUUGUUAAGUUGACUUUCCACAUCAAAUUCUGCAUGUCUAUCCACCACCGUGCGAAUUUGUUGCUGUGAGGAGUGAAACGGCUGAGGCAUCAAGACCAAACAGAGUUCGACCAAGUGCCGCACUCCAACUGUUUGUUGAUUUUCCGGAUUGCAGGAAAACCAUUUCAAGUUAGGACCCCUAAGAGCCCUUGGAUGCCAUUUCCCAUGCUGCUUGCUGCCAUUUCAAGCAAAGUCCCUUCUCAGCACAUGGACCUUGUGAAGAACAACUAUGCGCUGUUCA
This is an RNA transcript of Salvia splendens (bonfire salvia), 2385 nucleotides long. It is a transcript of the gene named inactive poly [ADP-ribose] polymerase RCD1, with no coding region annotated. The transcript is spliced from 7 exons. NCBI's taxonomy places the organism in Eukaryota, Viridiplantae, Streptophyta, Magnoliopsida, Lamiales, Lamiaceae. The record is from RefSeq and is a predicted model, not a curated record.